AGAUACCCCACUAUGCCUAGCCCUAAAUCUAGAUACCUCCCAUCACACAUGUAUCCGCCUGAGAACUACGAGCACAAACGCUUAAAACUCUAAGGACUUGGCGGUGCCCCAAACCCACCUAGAGGAGCCUGUUCUAUAAUCGAUAAUCCACGAUUCACCCAACCACCCCUUGCCAGCACAGCCUACAUACCGCCGUCGCCAGCCCACCUCUAAUGAAAGAACAACAGUGAGCUCAAUAGCCCCUCGCUAAUAAGACAGGUCAAGGUAUAGCCUAUGGGGUGGGAGAAAUGGGCUACAUUUUCUAACAUAGAACAAACGAAAAAGGACGUGAAACCCGCCCUUAGAAGGAGGAUUUAGCAGUAAAGUGAGAUCAUACCCCCUAAGCUCACUUUAAGACGGCUCUGAGGCACGUACACACCGCC
Molecule: ribosomal RNA, 422 nt
Filed under: Gallus gallus (chicken)
Lineage: Eukaryota; Metazoa; Chordata; Aves; Galliformes; Phasianidae
Description: partial small subunit ribosomal RNA
Rfam family: Bacterial small subunit ribosomal RNA
Source: RNAcentral